Molecule: ribosomal RNA, 214 nt
Filed under: uncultured bacterium
Lineage: Bacteria
Description: partial 16S ribosomal RNA
Rfam family: Bacterial small subunit ribosomal RNA
Source: RNAcentral
AGUAACAGUUAGAAAUGACUGCUAAUACCGCAUAAGCGCACAGUGCUGCAUGGCACAGUGUGAAAAACUACCGGUGGUAUGAGAUGGACCCGCGUCUGAUUAGCUAGUUGGUGGGGUAACGGCCUACCAAGGCGACGAUCAGUAGCCGGCCCGAGAGGGUGAACGGCCACAUUGGGACUGAGACACGGCCCAAACUCCUACGGGAGGCAGCAUG